Cebus imitator (Panamanian white-faced capuchin) is the source of this 1455-nucleotide RNA transcript. It is a transcript of the gene named ferritin-4, chloroplastic-like, with no coding region annotated. The record is from RefSeq and is a predicted model, not a curated record. The transcript is spliced from 4 exons. Lineage: Eukaryota; Metazoa; Chordata; Mammalia; Primates; Cebidae.
AUGGCUGGCAAAAAAUCGGCCAAUAUUGUUAAUGUGCUUCGAGAUAAAACCAAAGUUUGUAUCCGGGUAAUUGAAAACGUGUCAAAAGUUUACACCCCCAGCAACUCGCGUACGAAUGUGAAGCAAGUCCGGACGUUUAAAGUCAAAGUCCCGGACCAGAAAACGGCCGGCGGGUGGGGGGAGGGGCGAGGGCGCGUCCCGAAGAUGUCCACCCUCAGCACCGCUCAGGCUGCCGCCCCCCCCCCUCGGGCUGGAGAGACCCAAGGGUCUCGCGAAAUCCCAGUGCAGAAGUCCGGGUCCCGCCACCAGCAGCCUCCGCGCCCCCUCCGGCUCAGCUGCGAGCCUGCAGACGGCGCCCCCGGGGCAAACUCAGCGGGGGAAGAGGAAGCGACGCAGCGAGUAACAGGCUGUGAGGACGGGCAGCGGACUGAAGGACGGGGGUGUGUGUGUGUGUUGGCCUCCCAGCAAGGCCAUCUCACCCUCCCGCUUCCGAGCCGGCUAGCCGCAGCUCACCUGAGGAAGGCACCGGGACGCCGCCGCGGCCGCCGUGAUGGCAGUAACGGCACGAGGCCUGCGUUCCACCGCCGCAGAGACGCCGCCGCUUCCUGCUUCAAUAGUGCUUGGACAGAACCCGGCGCUCAUCCCCCACCCCGGCCGGCCGCCCAUAGCCAGCCCUCCCUCACCUCCUCACCGCGCCCUCAGACCGCCCCAAGGCCCCAGUCACCGCUCCAGCGCCGCACAGCCGCCGCCACGACGACCGCGUCCGUCUGGCAGGUGCAGCAGAACUACCACCAGGGCUCAGAAGCCGCCAUCAACCGCCAGAUCAACCUGGAGCUCUAUGCCUCUUACGUCUGCCUGUCAUAUCUUACUACUUUUGAUGAUGUAGCUUUGAAGAACUUUGCCAAAUCUUUCUUCAGCAAUCUCAUGGGGAGAGUGAACACGCUGAGAAAGUGAUGAAGCUGCAGAACCAACGAAGUGGCCAAAUCUUCAAGAUAUCAAGAAACCAGACCACGAUGACUGGGAGAGCGGGCUGAAUGCAAUGGAGUGUGCAUUACGUUUGGAAAAAAAAUGUCAAUCAGUCACUACUGGAACUGCACAAACUGGCCACUGACAAAAAUGGCCUCCAUUUGUGUGACUUCAUUGAGACACAUUACCUGAAUGAGCAGGUGAAAUCCAUCAAAGAAUUGGGUGACCACGUGACCAACUUUCAAACGAUGGGAGCACCCGCAUCUGGCUUGGCAGAGUAUCUCUUUGACAAGCACAUCCUGGGAGGCAAUGAUAAUGAAAGCUAAGUCUUAGGCUAAUUUCCCCAUAGUCAUAGGGUGACUUUCCUGGUCACCAAGGCAAUGCAUGCAUGUUGGGGUUUCCUUUACCUUUUCUGUAAGUUGUAUCAAAACAUCCACUUAAGUUCUUUGAUUUGUACCAUUCCUUCAAAUAAAGAAAUUUGGCACCCAG